GACGAACGCUGGCGGCGUGCUUAACACAUGCAAGUCGUACGGUAAAGCCCUUUCGGGGGUACACGUGUGUCGAACGCGUGAGUAUAACGUCCGUGACCUGCCCCCGACUUUGGGAUAACGCUAGGAAACUGGUGCUAAUUCUCGCAAUGUUCUCCUACUGCAUAGUGGGGGUUUGACAUCUCCCGCGGUUGUGGAUGGACUCACGGCCUAUCACCUUGUUGGUGGGGUAGUCGACUACCAAGGCGGCGACCGGUAGCCGGCCUGAGAGGGUGACCGGCCACCUUGGGACUGAGAGACGGCCCAGACUGCUACGGGAGGCAGCAGUGGGGAAUAUUGCCCAAGGGGCGCAAGCCAGAUGCAGAAGCGCCGCGUGCGGGAUGACGGGUUUCGGGUGGUAAACGGCUUUCAGCAGGGAAGAAGCUUUUUGUGACGGUACCUGCAGAAUAAGCACCGGCUAACUACGUG
RNAcentral lists this ribosomal RNA (465 nucleotides) under uncultured bacterium. RNAcentral describes it as "partial 16S ribosomal RNA". It matches the Rfam family "Bacterial small subunit ribosomal RNA", at positions 28 to 507 of the family's 1533-position model. The record is from RNAcentral.